AUUCCAGCUCCAAUAGCGUAUAUUAAUGUUGUUGCAGUUAAAAAGCUCGUAGUUGGAUUUCUGGUCGGAUCGCCUGGCCGGCUCCGCAAGGGGUCGUGCAUGGGUGCCUUCGUCCAUCCUCAGGGGGCCAGGCGCUGGUAUUCACUUAUCGGUGUUUGAACGCCUGUCGUUUACUGUGAACAAAUUAGAGUGUUCAAAGCAAGGUGUACUUGAAUACAUUAGCAUGGAAUAAUAAGAUAGGACUUUGGUGGUUCUUUUUGAUAUUUUGUUGGUUUGCACGCCAAAGUAAUGAUUAAUAGGAGCAGUUGGGGGUAUUCGUAUUCAAUUGUCAGAGGUGAAAUUCUUGGAUUUAUAGAAGACGAACUACUGCGAAAGCAUUUACCAAGGAUGUUUUCAUCA
This 399-nucleotide ribosomal RNA is filed under the name Pedinellales sp. RNAcentral describes it as "partial small subunit ribosomal RNA". It matches the Rfam family "Eukaryotic small subunit ribosomal RNA", at positions 582 to 975 of the family's 1831-position model. The record is from RNAcentral. Lineage: Eukaryota; Dictyochophyceae; Pedinellales.